UUUCCGGUUGAUCCUGCCGCCGGCCACCGCUAUCAAGUUCCGACUAAGCCAUGCGAGUCAAGGUAUCGUAAGAUGCCGGCACACUGCUCAGUAACACGUGGACAAUCUAACCUUGAGUAAGGGAUAACCUCGGGAAACUGAGGGUAAUACCUUAUAAUUGCUUAAAACUGGAAUGUUUAGGCAAUCAAAACUACGGUGCUCAAGGAUGAGUCUGCGACCUAUCAGGUAGUAGGUGGUGUAAUGGACCACCUAGCCUCAGACGGGUACGGGCCCUGGGAGGGGUAGCCCGGAGAUGGACUCUGAGACAUCAGUCCAGGCCCUACGGGGCGCAGCAGGCGCGAACACUGUGCAAUGCGCGAAAGCGCGACACGGGGAGCUUGAGUGUCUUGGCAUAGCCAAGACUUUUCUCAUUCCUAAAAAGCAUGAGGAAUAAGUGCUGGGUAAGACGGGUGCCAGCCGCCGCGGUAACACCCGCAGCACAAGUGGUGGUCACUUUUAUUGAGCCUAAAGCGUUCGUAGCCGGUUUUGUAAAUCUUUAGAUAAAGCCUGAAGCUUAACUCCAGAAAGUCUGAAGAGACUGCAAGACUUGAGAUCGGGUGAGGUUAAACGUACUUUCAGGGUAGGGGUAAAAUCCUGUAAUCCCGGAAGGACGACCAGUGGCGAAAGCGUUUAACUAGAACGAAUCUGACGGUAAGGAACGAAGGCUAGGGUAGCAAACCGGAUUAGAUACCCGGGUAGUCCUAGCUGUAAACACUGCCCAUUUGAUGUUGCUUUUCCGUUGAGGGAAGGCAGUGUCGGAGCGAAGGUGUUAAAUGGGCCGCUUGGGAAGUAUGGUCGCAAGACUGAAACUUAAAGGAAUUGGCGGGGGAGCACCGCAACGGGAGGAAUGUGCGGUUUAAUUGGAUUCAACGCCGGA
Molecule: ribosomal RNA, 916 nt
Filed under: uncultured archaeon
Lineage: Archaea
Description: bacterial SSU rRNA
Rfam family: Archaeal small subunit ribosomal RNA
Source: RNAcentral